RNAcentral lists this ribosomal RNA (723 nucleotides) under Vibrio sp. 1D09. RNAcentral's name for it is "bacterial SSU rRNA". It matches the Rfam family "Bacterial small subunit ribosomal RNA", at positions 33 to 735 of the family's 1533-position model. The record is from RNAcentral. Lineage: Bacteria; Pseudomonadati; Pseudomonadota; Gammaproteobacteria; Vibrionales; Vibrionaceae.
ACGCUGGCGGCAGGCCUAACACAUGCAAGUCGAGCGGAAACGACACYAACRAUCCUUCGGRUGMGUUAAUGGGCGUCGAGCGGCGGACGGGUGAGUAAUGCCUAGGAAAUUGCCUUGAUGUGGGGGAUAACCAUUGGAAACGAUGGCUAAUACCGCAUAAUGCCUACGGGCCAAAGAGGGGGAYCUUCGGRCCUCUCGCGUCAAGAUAUGCCUAGGUGGGAUUAGCUAGUUGGUGAGGUAAUGGCUCACCAAGGCGACGAUCCCUAGCUGGUCUGAGAGGAUGAUCAGCCACACUGGAACUGAGACACGGUCCAGACUCCUACGGGAGGCAGCAGUGGGGAAUAUUGCACAAUGGGCGAAAGCCUGAUGCAGCCAUGCCGCGUGUAUGAAGAAGGCCUUCGGGUUGUAAAGUACUUUCAGUUGUGAGGAAGGGGGURWCGUUAAUAGCGUYAUMUCUUGACGUUAGCAACAGAAGAAGCACCGGCUAACUCCGUGCCAGCAGCCGCGGUAAUACGGAGGGUGCGAGCGUUAAUCGGAAUUACUGGGCGUAAAGCGCAUGCAGGUGGUUCAUUAAGUCAGAUGUGAAAGCCCGGGGCUCAACCUCGGAACUGCAUUUGAAACUGGUGAACUAGAGUGCUGUAGAGGGGGGUAGAAUUUCAGGUGUAGCGGUGAAAUGCGUAGAGAUCUGAAGGAAUACCAGUGGCGAAGGCGGCCCCCUGGACA